Molecule: long non-coding RNA, 647 nt
Filed under: Mus caroli (Ryukyu mouse)
Lineage: Eukaryota; Metazoa; Chordata; Mammalia; Rodentia; Muridae
Description: RIKEN cDNA 2010106C02 gene (MGP_CAROLIEiJ_G0003045.1)
Source: RNAcentral
AUGGGAAAGGGUGUGCUGGCCCCAUGCAACCUGGGUGGACCCCUCUGGGAGGGAGGCAGAGUCAGGGUGACCAGGACUCCUGGCUGGAUUCAUUGAUCAGGAAGCAGAGAUGGAGUUCAGAUGGUUCCAGAAGCCAAGGCCUGACUAUCUCCCUGGGCCUGUGACUCGAAAACAGCCCUGGCUGGCUGCCACCUCUCGUACUGCCUGUUCUGUAAGGUCACACACAGGGUCAUGCCUGCCUUCUGACAUUCUGCUCACCCCAGAUCAGAGACAGUCAACAUCACCGUGCCCAAGGCCAAAGCCCUCUUCUCCAGGAUGACUGUAUCAAGAAGCCCCAAGCAGUCCAUUCAUCUUCUCACAGACUGCUGCCCCCGCAGACCCAGGAUGGCCUCCUCUACACAAAGCCUGUUCUUCAGAGGCCACAGAUUGGCCCUAUGUGAUGUGAGCACACGGCAAAUACUCAACUCACCCACCAAUAAGCUGUCUGCUGCCACUUAACUGUUCCAAGCACAGUCAUCAGGUAGUGGCUGCAAACUUGCUGGGGGAAGAGCCAGGGUCGAGGACAAAGCUGAGAAUAAGGUCAACCUACUAGGAAGGCAAUUGAGAGAGAUAAGGGUAGGGUAAUAAAAUCUGCAAUUGCUAGGAAA